UACGAAGGGGGCUAGCGUUGUUCGGAAUUACUGGGCGUAAAGCGCGUGUAGGCGGGGCUUUAAGUCAGGGGUGAAAUGCCAGGGCUCAACCUUGGAACUGCCUUUGAUACUGGAGACCUUGAGUCCGGGAGAGGUGAGUGGAAUUGCGAGUGUAGAGGUGAAAUUCGUAGAUAUUCGCAAGAACACCAGUGGCGAAGGCGGCUCACUGGCCCGGAACUGACGCUGAGACGCGAAAGCGUGGGGAGCAAACAGG
RNAcentral lists this ribosomal RNA (253 nucleotides) under uncultured bacterium. RNAcentral describes it as "partial 16S ribosomal RNA". It matches the Rfam family "Bacterial small subunit ribosomal RNA", at positions 524 to 776 of the family's 1533-position model. The record is from RNAcentral.